AUCCUUUUGCAGUUCAUAAGCAUGAAGUUUGGGUUUUCACAUGCAUCUGUGAGAAGUACCUUCCCCAAACCCUGUUACAAGGGUGGCUCACAUCUGUAA
This is a small nucleolar RNA of Pongo abelii (Sumatran orangutan), 99 nucleotides long. The record is from Ensembl. Lineage: Eukaryota; Metazoa; Chordata; Mammalia; Primates; Hominidae.